ACUCCUACGGGAGGCAGCAGUGGGGAAUAUUGGACAAUGGGGGCAACCCUGAUCCAGCCAUGCCGCGUGAGUGAAGAAGGCCCUAGGGUCGUAAAGCUCUUUCAACUGUGAAGAUAAUGACGGUAGCAGUAGAAGAAACCCCGCUAACAUCCGUGCCAGCAGCCGCGGUAAUACGGAGGGGGUUAGCGUUGUUCGGAAUUACUGGGCGUAAAGCGCACGUAGGCGGACUAUUAAGUUAGAGGUGAAAU
This 248-nucleotide ribosomal RNA is filed under the name uncultured bacterium. Its description in RNAcentral is "partial 16S ribosomal RNA". It matches the Rfam family "Bacterial small subunit ribosomal RNA", at positions 335 to 600 of the family's 1533-position model. The record is from RNAcentral.